CACGAAUAUAGUUCCUUUUAAUUAGAGUGUAUUUUUCCUUAAUUUUUUUUCUUUCCUUUCCUCACUCAUUCCUUAAAUCUUUUUGGGUAGAAAUGAAAGAAGAGAGGUCAAAUAAAUUUUUGGAGGUUGUAUUUUAACUGAUUUUGAUAUGGAAUGAGUGAUUAGGUCAAUGCAAAAAGGUGAUAUUUACAGUUUUCGGAACAUCUCUUGACUUGUCAAUAGGGGUAUGGAUGUGUAUUGGCUAAAUUUGUAAAAGUGAUUGCUUCAAUCUUUCUGAAUUUUGGAUAUAUAUUUGGACUAGGACAAUACAUUACACACACAAAAAAUUGGACAAAAGUGCAUGGUGCAAUUUUUUUAAUGAUGCAAAAGGUUAUAAAGAACUGAUAGAGGAAUUAAUUGUGGUCUGUGGCCAGA
RNAcentral lists this long non-coding RNA (414 nucleotides) under Mytilus galloprovincialis (Mediterranean mussel). The record is from RNAcentral. Lineage: Eukaryota; Metazoa; Mollusca; Bivalvia; Mytilida; Mytilidae.